Triticum urartu is the source of this 124-nucleotide non-coding RNA. The record is from Rfam. NCBI's taxonomy places the organism in Eukaryota, Viridiplantae, Streptophyta, Magnoliopsida, Poales, Poaceae.
UACAUACUCCCUCCGUCCGGAAAUACUUGUCUAAGAAAUGGAUAAAAUGGAUGUAUCUAUAACUAAAAUAAGUCUACAUACAUCCAUUACUAGGACAAGUAUUUUCGGACGGAGGGAGUAUAAA